AACGCUAGCUACAGGCUUAACACAUGCAAGUCGAGGGGCAGCAUGAACUUAGCUUGCUAAGUUUGAUGGCGACCGGCGCACGGGUGAGUAACACGUAUCCAACCUGCCGAUGACUCGGGGAUAGCCCUUCGAAAGAAAGAUUAAUACCCGAUGGCAUAGUUCUUCCGCAUGGUAGAACUAUUAAAGAAUUUCGGUCAUCGAUGGGGAUGCGUUCCAUUAGGUUGUUGGCGGGGUAACGGCCCACCAAGCCUUCGAUGGAUAGGGGUUCUGAGAGGAAGGUCCCCCACAUUGGAACUGAGACACGGUCCAAACUCCUACGGGAGGCAGCAGUGAGGAAUAUUGGUCAAUGGACGAGAGUCUGAACCAGCCAAGUAGCGUGAAGGAUGACUGCCCUAUGGGUUGUAAACUUCUUUUAUACGGGAAUAAAGUGAGGCACGUGUGCCUUUUUGUAUGUACCGUAUGAAUAAGGAUCGGCUAACUCCGUGCCAGCAGCCGCGGUAAUACGGAGGAUCCGAGCGUUAUCCGGAUUUAUUGGGUUUAAAGGGAGCGUAGGCGGACGCUUAAGUCAGUUGUGAAAGUUUGCGGCUCAACCGUAAAAUUGCAGUUGAUACUGGGUGUCUUGAGUACAGUAGAGGCAGGCGGAAUUCGUGGUGUAGCGGUGAAAUGCUUAGAUAUCACGAAGAACUCCGAUUG
This 693-nucleotide ribosomal RNA is filed under the name uncultured bacterium. RNAcentral's name for it is "bacterial SSU rRNA". It matches the Rfam family "Bacterial small subunit ribosomal RNA", at positions 32 to 715 of the family's 1533-position model. The record is from RNAcentral.